AGGGUUCAACACAUAUAACAGAAACCAAGUAAAAAAUUAACAGAAUGGAAAAUCACUCAAGCUCAAAUUCAAUGCAAGAUUUGAAUGAAUCCUCUUUACUACAUUGGUCUCAGCAUGUUUCUAUUAUAAAUAAAAACCUCACAAAUGCUCAGAGUGCUAAUCAUCCAACUGCAAUAAACAACAAUUUUAUACAGAUAAACUUGCAAUCAACAAAUAUUUACACGCUAUAAAUGUCAAAGCAAUAAUCAAUUUUACACAAGUCAAUUGAACCUUACAUGUAAAGUUUU
RNAcentral lists this unclassified non-coding RNA (287 nucleotides) under Hevea brasiliensis (rubber tree). Lineage: Eukaryota; Viridiplantae; Streptophyta; Magnoliopsida; Malpighiales; Euphorbiaceae. The record is from RNAcentral.